CAUCCUACUAUAUUAUUUGGGAAG
Molecule: non-coding RNA, 24 nt
Filed under: Arabidopsis thaliana (thale cress)
Lineage: Eukaryota; Viridiplantae; Streptophyta; Magnoliopsida; Brassicales; Brassicaceae
Source: RNAcentral